This 538-nucleotide ribosomal RNA is filed under the name uncultured bacterium. RNAcentral describes it as "bacterial SSU rRNA". It matches the Rfam family "Bacterial small subunit ribosomal RNA", at positions 791 to 1343 of the family's 1533-position model. The record is from RNAcentral.
UAGUCCACGCCGUAAACGAUGGUUGCUAACAGUUUGAGGAUUCGACCCCUUGAGUUGUAAAGCUAACGCGUUAAGCAACCCGCCUGGGGAGUACGAUCGCAAGAUUAAAACUCAAAGGAAUAGACGGGGACCCGCACAAGCGGUGGAGCGUGUUCUUUAAUUGGAUGAUACGCCAAGAACCUUACCAAGGCUUGACAUCUUCGGAAUUUCUACGAAAGUAGAGAGUGCUUUUGAACCGAAUGACAGGUGUUGCAUGGCCGUCGUCAGCUCGUGUCGUGAGAUGUUAGGUUAAGUCCUUCAACGAGCGCAACCCUUAUGUUUAGUUGUAUUUUUCUAGACAGACUGCCUCGGCAACGGGGAGAAGGAGGGGAUGGACGUCAGGUCCGUAUUGCCCUUAGCCUUGGGCUAGAAACGCGCUACAAUGGCCGGUACAAUGGGCAGCGAAACAGUAAUGUGGAGCAAAGUCCUAUCAAAGCCGGUACUCAGUUCGGAUUGAAGGCUGAAAUUCGCCUUCAUGAAGUUGGAAUCGCUAGUAACG